AGUCCGGCGGACGAACUUCGCCCACGCCCCCCACCAAGGCUAUAGCCCACCCGUUUUUUGGCCAUUUUUCCGCUGGGGGGUCUUGGCGCCCCGACCUUCAGGGGCUGAUUUUUGGGCGCGGGUGUGCCCGUGGCCUAUUUUUGGCAAACGGAGGCCGCCCGCAGAGUCUGGGGCCAUUCCGAGUCCGGCGGACGAGCUUCGCCCACGCCCCCCACCAAGGCUAUAGCCCACCCGUUUUUUGGCCAUUUUUCCGCUGGGGGGUCUUGGCGCCCCGACCUUCGGGGGCUGAUUUUUGGGCGCGGGUGUGCCCGUGGCCUAUUUUUGGCACACGGAGGCCGCCCGCAAAGUCUGGGGCCAUUCCGAGUCCGGCGGACGAACUUCGCCCACGCCCCCCACCAAGGCUAUAGCCCACCCGUUUUUUGGCCAUUUUUCCGCUGGGGGGUCUUGGCGCCCCGACCUUCGGGGGCUGAUUUUUGGGCGCGGGUGUGCCCGUGGCCUAUUUUUGGCAUACGGAGGCCGCCCGCAAAGUCUGGGGCCAUUCCGAGUCCGGCGGACGAACUUCGCCCACGCCCCCCACCAAGGCUAUAGCCCACCCGUUUUUUGGCCAUUUUUCCGCUGGGGGGUCUUGGCUCCCCGACCUUCGGGGGCUGAUUUUUGGGCGCGGGUGUGCCCGUGGCCUAUUUUUGGCACACGGAGGCCGCCCGCAAAGUCUGGGGCCAUUCCGAGUCCGGCGGACGAACUUCGCCCACGCCCCCCACCAAGGCUAUAGCCCACCCGUUUUUUGGCCAUUUUUCCGCUGGGGGGUCUUGGCGCCCCGACCUUCGGGGGCUGAAUUUUGGGCGCGGGUGUGCCCGUGGCCUAUUUUUGGCACACGGAGGCCGCCCGCAAAGUCUGGGGCCAUUCCGAGUCCGGCGGACGAACUUCGCCCACGCCCCCCACCAAGGCUAUAGCCCACCCGUUUUUUGGCCAUUUUUCCGCUGGGGGGACUUGGCUCCCCGACCUUCGGGGGCUGAUUUUUGGGCGCGGGUGUGCCCGUGGCCUAUUUUUGGCACACGGAGGCCGCCCGCAAAGUCUGGGGCCAUUCCGAGUCCGGCGGACGAACUUCGCCCACGCCCCCCACCAAGGCUAUAGCCCACCCGUUUUUUGGCCAUUUUUCCGCUGGGGGGUCUUGGCGCCCCGACCUUCGGGGGCUGAAUUUUGGGCGCGGGUGUGCCCGUGGCCUAUUUUUGGCACACGGAGGCCGCCCGCAAAGUCUGGGGCCAUUCCGAGUCCGGCGGACGAACUUCGCCCACGCCCCCCACCAAGGCUAUAGCCCACCCGUUUUUUGGCCAUUUUUCCGCUGGGGGGUCUUGGCGCCCCGACCUUCGGGGGCUGAAUUUUGGGCGCGGGUGUGCCCGUGGCCUAUUUUUGGCACACGGAGGCCGCCCGCAAAGUCUGGGGCCAUUCCGAGUCCGGCGGACGAACUUCGCCCACGCCCCCCACCAAGGCUAUAGCCCACCCGUUUUUUGGCCAUUUUUCCGCUGGGGGGUCUUGGCGCCCCGACCUUCGGGGGCUGAAUUUUGGGCGCGGGUGUGUCCGUGGCCUAUUUUUGGCACACGGAGGCCGCCCGCAAAGUCUGGGGCCAUUCCGAGUCCGGCGGACGAACUUCGCCCACGCCCCCCACCAAGGCUAUAGC
Molecule: long non-coding RNA, 1675 nt
Filed under: Citrus x clementina
Lineage: Eukaryota; Viridiplantae; Streptophyta; Magnoliopsida; Sapindales; Rutaceae
Description: Citrus clementina (C. clementina) long non-coding RNA (CCLE_LNC004797)
Source: RNAcentral